Long non-coding RNA from Orcinus orca (killer whale), 541 nucleotides. RefSeq lists it as uncharacterized. The record is from RefSeq and is a predicted model, not a curated record. NCBI's taxonomy places the organism in Eukaryota, Metazoa, Chordata, Mammalia, Artiodactyla, Delphinidae. The transcript is spliced from 2 exons.
GGCUAACAAUGUGUGGUAGGAUACUCCCUUGUGAUUCUGGGCGUCAGCAGUAAGCCACAGCUCCCAGUCAGCCAUGUAAUCACAUGGGUUCUGAAAUGAGGAAGAAGAUACUUCAUAAUUUAGCAAAAACUGAAGAUUUCUCAAGCUAAUAAUAGACCUAUCAUUUUGAAUCAAAGAUUAUCUCCUGCAAUAGAUAGAAGAGUGAAGAGCCAGCCAUCCUUUACCUUCAGUUGGUCCAAGAGGCUCUGUAGGUUAGUGUAUCGCAUCCUUGAAGGAGAGGUGGUGUCCUGGCUUAUAUAAGAGAAACACAAAGAAACUGGUUUAGAGGUUUUAGAAAUUAUGUCUUAGAUGUCUAGGAAAAUCACCCCAAACAAUCAAAACAUUAUACAACCUUUUUAUUGAGAUAUAAAAUCUAUCACAGAAACCAGCCACUAAAACUCAAAGCAUGCACCAAUCCUUGUGGAGAUCUUUUAGGAAGAAUAUGAUCAAGUAUGAGAUAUAACAAUAAAACAGCGUGGUGUACUCUUCUCAUCUUCAAAAA